This 520-nucleotide ribosomal RNA is filed under the name uncultured Glomus. RNAcentral describes it as "SSU rRNA". It matches the Rfam family "Eukaryotic small subunit ribosomal RNA", at positions 569 to 1085 of the family's 1831-position model. The record is from RNAcentral. Lineage: Eukaryota; Fungi; Glomeromycota; Glomeromycetes; Glomerales; Glomeraceae.
AGCAGCCGCGGUAAUUCCAGCUCCAAUAGCGUAUAUUAAAGUUGCUGCAGUUAAAAAGCUCGUAGUUGAAUUUCGGGACCAUCAUGUCGGUCGUGCCUCGGUACGUACUGGUAUUGUUGGUUUCUCCCUUCUGACGAACCAUGAUGUCAUUUAUUUGGUGUUGUGGGGAAUCAGGACUGUUACUUUGAAAAAAUUAGAGUGUUUAAAGCAGGCUCACGCUUGAAUACAUUAGCAUGGAAUAAUGAAAUAGGACGUUUGAUUCUAUUUUGUUGGUUUCUAGGAUCGACGUAAUGAUUAAUAGGGAUAGUUGGGGGCAUUAGUAUUCAAUUGUCAGAGGUGAAAUUCUUGGAUUUAUUGAAGACUAACUACUGCGAAAGCAUUUGUCCAAGGAUGUUUUCUAUUAAUCAAGAACGAAAGUUAGGGGAGUCGAAGACGAUCAGAUACCGUCGUAGUCUUAACCAUAAACUAAUGCCGACUAGGGAUUUCGGAUGAUGUUAAUUUUUAAUUGACUCAUUCGGCG